UACGUAGGGCGCAAGCGUUGUCCGGAAUUAUUGGGCGUAAAGGGCGCGUAGGUGGCGACCCAAGUCGAUGGUGAAAGCUCGCCGCUCAACGGCGAGUCUGCCACUGAUACUGGGUUGCUGGAGCACUGUAGAGGCAGAUGGAAUUCCGGGUGUAGCGGUGGAAUGCGUAGAGAUCCGGAAGAACACCGGUGGCGAAGGCGGUCUGCUGGGCAGUUGCUGACACUGAGGCGCGACAGCGUGGGGAGCAAACAGG
This 253-nucleotide ribosomal RNA is filed under the name uncultured bacterium. RNAcentral describes it as "partial 16S ribosomal RNA". It matches the Rfam family "Bacterial small subunit ribosomal RNA", at positions 524 to 776 of the family's 1533-position model. The record is from RNAcentral.